This 73-nucleotide transfer RNA is filed under the name Candidatus Pacearchaeota archaeon RBG_16_35_8. RNAcentral describes it as "tRNA-Thr". It matches the Rfam family "tRNA". From Rfam's summary of the family: Transfer RNA (tRNA) molecules are approximately 80 nucleotides in length. Their secondary structure includes four short double-helical elements and three loops (D, anti-codon, and T loops). The record is from RNAcentral. Lineage: Archaea; Nanobdellati.
GCCUGUGUAGCUCAGUCGGCAGAGCGGCAGUUUUGUAAACUGUAGGUCGGGGGUUCAAUUCCCUCCACAGGCU